GUAGGUGAACCUGCGGAAGGAUCAUUACAGAGUUCACGCCCUUUUAGGGUAGACCUCCCACCCUUGUGUAUUAUAUUACAGUUGCUUUAGCGGGCCAUAGGCUCUGCCUGUACCGGCUCCGGCCGGGCGCGCCCGCUAGAGGACCCCAAACUCUGAAUGUCAGUGUCGUCUGAGUACUAUAAAAUAGUUAAAACUUUCAACAACGGAUCUCUUGGUUCUG
RNAcentral lists this unclassified non-coding RNA (220 nucleotides) under rhizosphere metagenome. Its description in RNAcentral is "partial ribosomal RNA internal transcribed spacer region". The record is from RNAcentral.